AUGUCUGCUGCAGGAGCCGAGCCGGAGCCGAGCCGAGCAGCAGCCGAGCAGGAGCCGAGCCGAGCAGCAGCCGAGCAGCAGCCGAGCAGGAGCCGAGCCGAGCAGCAGCCGAGCAGCAGCCGAGCCGGAGCCGAGCAGGAGGGAUGCGGUGCAUCUUGGUGGGAUCAGUCUGCUGCUGGAUGUCAGUCAUACUCCUCAGUUCAGUGUGUCAGUGUUCACAUAAGCCGCAGUGAUGAGCAGCAGAAGCCGCAGGACCUGUGCGAAGAGACGCUCAGGUUGUUUGGGACGGUUCUCCAGAGUGACUUUACAGAGGCCUGGAUGGUCCAAAGAUGAGGUAAUGUCCACCCUGUCAGCAGUCAGGGUAAGAGAUGGAUGUUCUUCUUGAGGAGUUGCUGUGUAGUUCAUAUUUCUUCUGUGUGGUUCUGAUGGUGGACAAACUGACGAUCAGUUUUCAGAUAUUUGAUGUCAGACAGUGAGUCAGUCAAUAACCUGUUAAUACCUGUCAGUGUGAACAGUCAUGAAAAUAAUCAUCUGUGUAGACGGAGCCGCUCUCUUUACACUCAUAUGUUCAUGUUAACUGCAAAUAAAAUAACUUUUCACUAGAUUUUUGUUUGUUUGAAAUAUUUCGGCUGAAUGAACUGGAGUCAUUUUUAUGUCUGUUAUAUAUGAGUCAAACCUUUGUGUAAAAGCAUAAUUACGACGAAAGAACACGAGCAUUGAGAACAUUGUUUGUGUACACACAGUUUACUAAAAAGAAGGUUUUUGAACAACUCAUGUUAGCAGAUAUUUCCUACGCUGGCCGCCGUCCUGCCAGUGGAGAAGUGUCGACCUCAGAAUGUGACGUAACCUGGAGGACAGUUAAGGUGGAACGUUCCUAAAGCUUAGUUCCAUAUAAAUACACAGAUAAUUUGUUGUUUUGUCGUUAGUGAAAAACAGUAUUGACUUUGAAGUUGAAAAAGGAGCCUCAUGUAAGAAAGAAAACUAAAAUCAAAAGCUGGAAAAGUCCCGUAGAUCUGGUGUUGAUAGUUGUUGAUGGAAGACAGUAGUUCCACCUUAACUGUCCUCCAGGUUACGUCACAUUCAGAGAUCGACACUUCUCGGCUGCCAUGACAGCGGCUAGCAGAACAAGCUACUACUUAGUUGUUUCAAGUUGUCGUAAUUAUGCUUUUACACAAAGGUUUGACUCAUAUAGGGCUGUAAUCUCCUAGUCGACUGGUUGAUUUAUUGGUCGAUACGUUCUGGCUCGAUUAAAAUUCUGAUUGGUUGAUUUUUGGCGUGUUAAUUACAUGCUGCUGUGGCAGUGCGUAAACACGCAGCGGGUCCUCUCUAUCCCAAUGCUGUGUGUCCUGCAUAUGGCAAAUUUGACUUCAUCAGGAGGAAAGUACCAAGUGCUAACAGUGUGUCUUCAGAACACCCCCCUUGUUUUUAAUAUUUUGGAUUAGCCCAACCUACUACAGUCAAACAGAUUGAAGGUACUAGAAGGCCUCUGUCCGGUGGUGUGUUAAAUAUUUCUUUAUUUUUAAGCAUUUCAUUUACAGUCAUUCCUAUUCUACCAUGUCAAAGACAUCAGCAGUGUGGCAGCAUUUUAUACAAAUAGAAAAUGGAAAAAAAAGUCGAACAGUUAUCACAGCUCGACUACAAACAUGGCAUAUCACCUAAAAAUGGUAAGCUACAGUGUCUGAUAGUGUCUGUCAAUUAUUAUAACAUGUCAAAAACAAUUGUCUAAUUAUUCCUCAACAGUUUUUGUGCUGACAUCGCUAGUUGACAUAGUAUAUUUUGGGAAAUCCUGGGCUAUGAUAUUGCACAGAUGCACAU
Sparus aurata (gilthead seabream) is the source of this 1815-nucleotide long non-coding RNA. The record is from Ensembl. NCBI's taxonomy places the organism in Eukaryota, Metazoa, Chordata, Actinopteri, Spariformes, Sparidae.